CCUACGGGUGGCAGCAGUGAGGAAUAUUGGUCAAUGGACGAGAGUCUGAACCAGCCAAGUAGCGUGAAGGAUGACUGCCCUAUGGGUUGUAAACUUCUUUUAUAAAGGAAUAAAACGAGGCACGUGUGCCUUUUUGCAUGUACUUUAUGAAUAAGGAUCGGCUAACUCCGUGCCAGCAGCCGCGGUAAUACGGAGGAUCCGCGCGUUAUCCGGAUUUAUUGGGUUUAAAGGGAGCGUAGAUGGGUUGUUAAGUCAGUUGUGAAAGUUUGCGGCUCAACCGUAAAAUUGCAAUUGAUACUGGCAGUCGUGAGUACAGUUGAGGUAGGCGGAAUUCGUGGUGUAGCGGUGAAAUGCUUAGAUAUCACGAAGAACCCCGAUUGCGAAGGCAGCUUACUAAACUGUGACUGACAUUGAUGCUCGAAAGUGUGGGUAUCAAACAGGAUUAGAUACCCUUGUAGUC
Molecule: ribosomal RNA, 460 nt
Filed under: uncultured bacterium
Lineage: Bacteria
Description: partial 16S ribosomal RNA
Rfam family: Bacterial small subunit ribosomal RNA
Source: RNAcentral